This 1047-nucleotide ribosomal RNA is filed under the name uncultured crenarchaeote. RNAcentral describes it as "bacterial SSU rRNA". It matches the Rfam family "Archaeal small subunit ribosomal RNA", at positions 309 to 1362 of the family's 1478-position model. The record is from RNAcentral. Lineage: Archaea; Thermoproteati; Thermoproteota.
CGCGGGAUUGGGGACGGGGUGCAGCAGGUGCGAAACCUCCUCAAUGCACUAACGUGCGAAGGGGUUACCUCGAGUGCUACCUGAAGAAGGUGGCUUUUCCUUGGUCUAAAAAGCCUCGGGAAUAAGAGGGGGGCAAGACUGGUGUCAGCCGCCGCGGUAACACCAGCCCCUCGAGUGGUGGGGAUGAUUAUUUGGCCUAAAGCGUCCGUAGCCGGCCGGGUAAGUUUCCCGUUAAAUCCAACGUCUCAAGCGUUGGACUGCGGGAAAUACUGCCUGGCUAGAGAGUGGGAGAGGUCAGCGGUAUUCUGGGGGUAGGGGCGAAAUCCUUUGAUCCCCGGAGGACCACCAGUGGCGAAGGCUGCUGACUAGAACACGUCUGACGGUCAGGGACGAAAGCUGGGGUAGCGAACCGGAUUAGAUACCCGGGUAGUCCCAGCCGUAAACGAUGCAUGCUAGGUGUUGGGUUGGCCACGAGCCACCCCAGUGCCGCAGGGAAGCCGUUAAGCAUGCCGCCUGGGAAGUACGAUCGCAAGAUUGAAACUUAAAGGAAUUGGCGGGGGAGCACCACCAGGCGUGAAGCCUGCGGUUUAAUUGGAGUCAACGCCGGGAACCUUACCGGAAGCGACAGCAGAGUGAAGGCCAGAUUGAAGAUCUUGCCAGACGAGCUGAGAGGAGGUGCAUGGCCGUCGCCAGUUCGUGCCGUGAGGUGUUCUCUUAAGUGAGAUAACGAACGAGACCCGUGCCACAUGUUGCCAACAGAAUCUAAAGGGUUGCUGAGCACUCUUGUGGGACCGCAGCCGAUAAGGCUGAGGAAGGGGCGGGCAACGGCAGGUCAGUAUGCCCCGAAUCUUCCGGGCCACACGCGGGCUGCAAUGGUAUGGACAGAGGGCUGCCACCCCGAAAGGGGGAGCCAAUCCCUAAACCAUACCUCAGUUGGGAUUGAGGGCUGCAACCCGCCCUCAUGAACAUGGAAUGCCUAGUAACUGCCAGUCAUCAUCUGGCGGUGAAUACGUCCCUGCUCCUUGACGAAUUCGCCGAAUCACUAGU